RNAcentral lists this transfer RNA (77 nucleotides) under Synergistaceae bacterium. Its description in RNAcentral is "tRNA-Arg". It matches the Rfam family "tRNA". From Rfam's summary of the family: Transfer RNA (tRNA) molecules are approximately 80 nucleotides in length. Their secondary structure includes four short double-helical elements and three loops (D, anti-codon, and T loops). Lineage: Bacteria; Thermotogati; Synergistota; Synergistia; Synergistales; Synergistaceae. The record is from RNAcentral. RNAcentral also lists the same sequence under 1 other name.
GCGCUUGUAGCUCAGUUGGAUAGAGCAACGGCCUUCUAAGCCGUAGGUCGCGGGUUCGAAUCCUGCCGGGCGCGCCA